ACGGGUGAGUAACGCGUGGGAAUCUACCCAUCCCUACGGAAUAACGCAUGGAAACGUGUGCUUAUACCGUAUACGCCCUACGGGGGAAAGAUUUAUCGGGGAUGGAUGAGCCCGCGUUGGAUUAGCUAGUUGGUGGGGUAAAGGCCUACCAAGGCGACGAUCCAUAGCUGGUCUGAGAGGAUGAUCAGCCACAUUGGGACUGAGACACGGCCCAAACUCCUACGGGAGGCAGCAGUGGGGAAUAUUGGACAAUGGGCGCAAGCCUGAUCCAGCCAUGCCGCGUGAGUGAUGAAGGCCUUAGGGUUGUAAAGCUCUUUCACCGGAGAAGAUAAUGACGGUAUCCGGAGAAGAAGCCCCGGCUAACUUCGUGCCAGCAGCCGCGGUAAUACGAAGGGGGCUAGCGUUGUUCGGAAUUACUGGGCGUAAAGCGCACGUAGGCGGACUUUUAAGUCAGGGGUGAAAUCCCGGGGCUCAACCUCGGAACUGCCUUUGAUACUGGAAGUCUGGAGUAUGGAAGAGGUGAGUGGAAUUCCGAGUGUAGAGGUGAAAUUCGUAGA
This 557-nucleotide ribosomal RNA is filed under the name uncultured bacterium. RNAcentral's name for it is "bacterial SSU rRNA". It matches the Rfam family "Bacterial small subunit ribosomal RNA", at positions 102 to 694 of the family's 1533-position model. The record is from RNAcentral.